Non-coding RNA from Desulfobacteraceae bacterium 4484_190.1, 46 nucleotides. Lineage: Bacteria; Pseudomonadati; Thermodesulfobacteriota; Desulfobacteria; Desulfobacterales; Desulfobacteraceae. The record is from Rfam.
CCCGGGGUUGAAAUCCCAGGCUAUUAUCUAUCGUCCCUACGGGACU